UUUCUUACAAUUUUAUUUCUAAAUGUUUAAACAGAUCGGCGUUUUACCAAUAUUCAUAUAUGGAAAUAGGGAAAAGUAAAUACAGCCUGUAAAAGUACAGGAAAUUUUCGUUUUGAUGGGCCCUUAUUCGUGUUGUAAUUCUUGUUAGUUUUUAUAUUACGAUAAAAUGAAAUUGGGACAUGCUGCGCGGUUUUCUUUAAAAUUAGCGAUAAAACGUCGGUGCUGAAAGCGAUCGACGCGCAUCGCACAAUAAAGUAGUGAAAACUAUUUGUAUUGUCCUCUGUUGGUAAUAUGAAUACUUUUUGAUACACUAAAACAAUAUCCAUAUAUGUAUGAAAUAAUCAGCCAGGUAUUCUCUGCUUUAAAAAAAAGAAGUAUAAAAACCAUUAUUGGUAAAUAACAGUUACACCACCUACUUGUAUUGUAACUUCAUAAAACACCUAACGAGAAUGUUACAUCGGUAGAGUGAAUUAAAAAAAAAUACUUCAAAUUCAGAUAUAAACGUUAUGUAAUAUUUAUUCGGUAUAGAAAUAAUUUUUUCUGCCAAACAAAGAAAACAAAAAGACCAGUCUGCAUAUUGUAUUAUAUAAUACUUUUUCCCCCGUGAUCCGGAUCGCGACCGCGGGGUUUUCUGAAAGUGUCCACGGGCAACACACGUGUUUCCGUUUCAACGAAAACAACAACACAACAAACGCUUGUAUUGUAUUUUACAUCUUGAAAAGGACCUGAUGUCAGAUGAAGAAGUCUGAAGAUACCUUGGAUAUCCUGUUGCAGGAUGACCCAAACGAUCAUGCAUUCAGUAUAAACAUGUUAUUGACAUCCCAAUAUUUAGUGGGAAGCUUCCAGGUAUCUUCCACUAGUGACAGUCUACUGGCAAAUCCAGACAUGCAUUGGAAGUAUGUUGAUGUGGAGGACACAGGGACACCUGAUCCAAGAACUGUGGCAUUUCAUUCGGAGUGACAACCUAGCAUGCAGUUGAUAUGGGACCUGAUUAUUCAGAGAAUUGCAGAUUUUAUGAAGCUGUUUUUGACAGAAGAUUUGGUUUUCUCCAUCUGUGUUGCCACCAACCAUUAUGCUGUGAUGGUCAUAUCUAGGGGGAAGGGUUGUCAUAUGCUUCCCAAGGAAGUUCGAAGCCUCUCACUGAAGAGGAACUGUACAUAUUUUUGGGCAUUAUCUUAUACAUGUCUGCUGAGAAGUUCCAGUCGAUACACAGAUAUUGGUCAACGCAUGCCCCUAUCGGAACAACCUAGUAUCAAGAAUUAUGUCUAGAAAUAUGUUUUAAGAGGUUGAAUAUAAGAAGAACAAUUUUUAUUAAAUAUAAUGCAAGUACAUUUAAAUUUAGUGAUUGAAAGUAAGUACUUGAACAUUCGUAUACAUGUACAAUGAACUUGGGGAGGAAAAACGGGCAUUAUUUUCGCAUAGCAUUUGAUAUCAUAAUGGUGUUGUUGCUUAGCAACCAAAUAUAUUUGAAUAUAAAAAAAUUGAUUUUUUUUAGAUUUUAACAGGAAAGAUCUUUGUUUUAAUGUUGCAAUAUUUAUACUAUUUAGUGGGAUACAAUGGCAAAACGUCAUAUUAUUAGAAAAUGAUGAAUAUGUAUAUGAAGUACGAAAUUUUCAUUUUAUGACCUUUGACCUUAAUUCUCUUGAUUAUAUUUUUUGUUAUAAACCUUUUAAAAUGAUUGAGAUCUAGUUAAAGAUUAUAUUUUUAAAAUAAUGUGACAUUUACUAAUCAUCAUGCAAUGUAACUAUGUUUAAAUUGUGUCGAAUGGAUGUAGAAAGGCAAAUUAUGGUCAAAAUUACACCAUGAGUGUUGUUACUUAGCAACCAAAAAUAUUUGUUUGUCAAUAAAAUUGAUUAAUUUGAU
This is a long non-coding RNA of Ostrea edulis (European flat oyster), 1863 nucleotides long. RefSeq lists it as uncharacterized. NCBI's taxonomy places the organism in Eukaryota, Metazoa, Mollusca, Bivalvia, Ostreida, Ostreidae. The record is from RefSeq and is a predicted model, not a curated record. The transcript is spliced from 4 exons.